GACGAACGCUGGCGGCGUGCUUAACACAUGCAAGUCGAACGGAAAGGCCCUGCUUUUGUGGGGUGCUCGAGUGGCGAACGGGUGAGUAACACGUGAGUAACCUGCCCUUGACUUUGGGAUAACUUCAGGAUACUGGGGCUAAUACCGGAUAGGAGCUCCUGCUGCAUGGUGGGGGUUGGAAAGUUUCGGCGGUUGGGGAUGGACUCGCGGCUUAUCAGCUUGUUGGUGGGGUAGUGGCUUACCAAGGCUUUGACGGGUAGCCGGCCUGAGAGGGUGACCGGCCACAUUGGGACUGAGAUACGGCCCAGACUCCUACGGGAGGCAGCAGUGGGGAAUAUUGCACAAUGGGCGGAAGCCUGAUGCAGCAACGCCGCGUGCGGGAUGACGGCCUUCGGGUUGUAAACCGCUUUCGCCUGUGACGAAGCGUGAGUGACGGUAAUGGGGAAAGAAGCACCGGCUAACUACGU
Molecule: ribosomal RNA, 467 nt
Filed under: uncultured bacterium
Lineage: Bacteria
Description: partial 16S ribosomal RNA
Rfam family: Bacterial small subunit ribosomal RNA
Source: RNAcentral